RNAcentral lists this long non-coding RNA (1177 nucleotides) under Monodelphis domestica (gray short-tailed opossum). RNAcentral's name for it is "lncRNA (ENSMODG00000043737.1)". Lineage: Eukaryota; Metazoa; Chordata; Mammalia; Didelphimorphia; Didelphidae. The record is from RNAcentral.
UACGCUCCUCGUUGUGAACCUAAAUCAUCUUUUGCAAGCAAGUUGAAGUGUGGAUUUUUGCUGAGGGUCAUCCCUGCUUGUCACUUCUUGCUCUAGACCGCUGGGAACUGUAGUUCCCACACUUUACAUGGGCCCAAAUUCAAGAACAGUGGGCAAGAAGUGGCACCCUUUUAAAAGCAUUGACUGGGGAGUCACUGAUAGGAUGUCCUGGAACCGGUUGGCAUUCAUUAUUCACUUAGACAGGUGGGAGAAUUGUGAAUAUGGAACAACUCUAUCAAUCCAUUAACAAACAUUGUUUUCUACAUAAUAAGUGGCAGAAAUACAAAGACAAAAAUGAAACAAAUCUUGUCAUCAAGGAACUUAGUCUAAAAGGUUGAGGGGGAGGCGAUGAGAAGACAACAGGUAAGUACAGUAUAUCUAGACAAAAAGUCAUUUUGAGGGGAGGAGGGAAGGUACCCAAAACUAGAGGAUUCCAGAAUCUUAAAGGAACCUAGGCAUUCUAAGAUGUGAGGAAAGAGCCUUCUGGGCAGAGGGAAAGCCAAUACAAUGAAACAGAUUAGAAUUGAAGUUUCCUGUAUAGGGAGGAGUAAAAAGGCCAGUUUAGUUGGACCAUAGUCUGUGAAAUGGAGUUAAUGUGUAACAGACCUGGAAAAGUAGAGUAGUGGCAGAUGUUGAGAUGUUUUAAAUGAUAAAGUAGUCUAUUUCAUCUUAGAAGCUGUGUAAAAGGAAUUUAUCCUUUUCCCCUUUUCAGCUAUUUGAACCCCGGCUAGAAGCAAAGACUGUGUGAAGAAAAUCAUUGGAUCAAUUUAGUCACGAGGGGAGAAUAACAGACAGAAAAAUGGAACAAUUUGGAGUCAAAAAUAUCCCCACACCAUCAGUGCAGGAUGAUCUUCCCUGGACUGCCCCCUGACCAGCAAAGACAAAAUGGAAUGCCAUGAUUGGUUCCUGAGAUGUGACAUGUGAGAGUCAGUGGGAUGAGGAAGGAUUGUAUGAAAAACCAUUUGAGAGAAGGAAGUAAGGGCUCUGUCUCAGGCAUCCUAUCCAGGAACUGGGAUGCUGGGGUGCUGCUAUAGAAGCCAUGUGGCUAGCUAGAAUAGACUUUUCUUUCUAUCUCUCUGCCUUUACCUAUUCAAGUAAUUCUAAUAAACUAUAAAAAUUCUAAGGACCCUAGUCCUAA